CAGCAGCCGCGGUAAAACGGAGGGAGCUAGCGUUAUUCGGAAUUACUGGGCGUAAAGCGCACGUAGGCGGCUUUGUAAGUUAGAGGUGAAAGCCUGGAGCUCGACUCCAGAAUUGCCUUUAAGACUGCAUCGCUUGAAUCCAGGAGAGGUGAGUGGAAUUCCGAGUGUAGAGGUGAAAUUCGUAGAUAUUCGGAAGAACACCAGUGGCGAAGGCGACUGACUGGACAAGUAUUGACGCUGAGGUGCGAAAGCGUGGGGAGCAAACAGGAUUAGAUACCCCUGUAGUCCCUGUCUCUUAUAC
This 301-nucleotide ribosomal RNA is filed under the name uncultured bacterium. RNAcentral's name for it is "partial 16S ribosomal RNA". It matches the Rfam family "Bacterial small subunit ribosomal RNA", at positions 509 to 807 of the family's 1533-position model. The record is from RNAcentral.